AAAGCUCCCUUCGGGGAGUGCAUAAAGUGGCGCACGGGUGAGUAACACGUAAGUAAUCUACCCUCGGGUGGGGAAUAACGUCCGGAAACGGACGCUAAUACCGCAUAAUGCAGCGGCACCGCAAGGUGACAGUUGUUAAAGAUUUAUUGCCUGUGGAGGAGCUUGCGGCAGAUUAGCUAGUUGGUAAGGUAACGGCUUACCAAGGCUACGAUCUGUAUCCGGUCUAAGAGGACGGUCGGACACACUGACACUGAAUAACGGGUCAGACUCCUACGGGAGGCAGCAGUCGGGAAUUUUGGGCAAUGGGGGAAACCCUGACCCAGCAACGCCGCGUGAAGGAUGAAGUAUUUCGGUAUGUAAACUUCGAAAGAAUAGGAAGAAUUAAUGACGGUACUAUUUAUAAGGUCCGGCUAACUACGUGCCAGCAGCCGCGGUAAUACGAAGGGACCAAGCGUUGUUCGGAUUUACUGGGCGUAAAGGGCGCGUAGGCGGCGCGGUAAGUCACUUGUGAAAUCUCUGAGCUUAACUCAGAACGGCCAAGUGAUACUGCAGUGCUAGAGUGUGGAAGGGGCAAUCGGAAUUCUUGGUGUAGCGGUGAAAUGCGUAGAUAUCAAGAGGAACACCUGAGGUGAAGACGGGUUGCUGGGCCAACACUGACGCUGAGGCGCGAAAGCCAGGGGAGCAAACGGGAUUAGAUACCCCGGUAGUCCUGGCCCUAAACGAUGAAUACUUGGUGUCUGGAGUUUUAAUGCUCCGGGUGCCGUCGCUAACGUUUUUAGUAUUCCGCCU
RNAcentral lists this ribosomal RNA (789 nucleotides) under uncultured Bacillota bacterium. Its description in RNAcentral is "bacterial SSU rRNA". It matches the Rfam family "Bacterial small subunit ribosomal RNA", at positions 70 to 874 of the family's 1533-position model. The record is from RNAcentral. Lineage: Bacteria; Bacillati; Bacillota.